Long non-coding RNA from Drosophila obscura, 673 nucleotides. RefSeq lists it as uncharacterized. The record is from RefSeq and is a predicted model, not a curated record. The transcript is spliced from 3 exons. Lineage: Eukaryota; Metazoa; Arthropoda; Insecta; Diptera; Drosophilidae.
AUAAGUGACAUCGUCAACCGCGCGGGGAACGUAAAUCAAUUAUGUAUUUGUUUGUUUUUUCUCGUUUAACUAUUACAAAAUCAUUUCCCUGUUCGAGUGUCGAAGCCCGCCACAGAAGUAUGCACUCACACACAUACACACACAGAUCCCGUUAUGAUAUUUCAGCGCGGUGCUCCAUGUUGUGUUUUUUGUGUUGUUUAUUUUUUUUGUUUGUAUUUUCUUAGUUUAAAAUCUUAAACGUAAUGGAAAAAAAAUUAUAUUUUCUUUAUGUGGUCGCCUUACAAAUAAAUACCAACAAAUAGUAAUACUAGCAGCACAGCAACGAGUAUCGUAAUGAGCAUUAUCUUUUUCUGCAACGAACAACAAGAAACGAGAGUGGCGUGUAUUAUGUGACUCUCUGGUUGAGUGUCAACCACCUGGGAAGUGCAGGCAGGCACACCUCACCGCCUGCCAGAACGAUAAGAGCCAGGCACUUGAUCUGUAAGAAUGCGAUUGAAGAAAUUAGGAUUGCCUUUUAGCAGGCUGGCGGAGACUGGAGACUGAUAAACCUUCUGGACACACUGGAUACGCACGACGGAUGACACUUGAAUCGGUGGUGACGGUGUGUGAGCCACUGCGUAUACUCGUUAUUUUUGAUAUUUGAUAAUUCAGAGGCAACAAUGAAACGAGCAGA